Molecule: ribosomal RNA, 253 nt
Filed under: uncultured bacterium
Lineage: Bacteria
Description: partial 16S ribosomal RNA
Rfam family: Bacterial small subunit ribosomal RNA
Source: RNAcentral
UACGGGGGGGGCAAGCGUUGUUCGGAAUUACUGGGCGUAAAGGGCUCGUAGGUGGCCAACUAAGUCAGACGUGAAAUCCCCAGGCUCAACUUGGGAACUGCGUCUGAUACUGGAUGGCUUGAAUUCGGGAGAGGGAUGCAGAAUUCCAGGUGUAGCGGUGAAAUGCGUAGAUAUCUGGAGGAAUACCGGUGGCGAAGGCGGCAUCCUGGACCGAGACUGACACUGAUGAGCGAAAGCUAGGGGAGCAAACGGG